CCACUCCCUCACCACGCGGCCGCCGCCCCACCCACGCCCCGUGCUCGGCGCCGGCGCCGGCGCGGGACUCCCCUCGCCUCCGUCCGCUCUCCCCGAGUCACCUCCGUCGUCGUACGCCCUCCACCCGCCGCCGCCGACGUCGUCCGUCCUCCCCCCGCUCUCCGUUGCCUCUCCUUGCAGGCCGUGCGACGGCGCGGCUCGUGGCCUCGUCUCCGGUGCCACCGUAGCUAGAUCUGGCCCUCCCACGGCUGGAUCUAGCUCCGCCGCCGCUGGAUCUAGCGGCCGGAGGAGACGGCGCGACGGAGGAGGAUGGCCGCGAUAGCUUCGGACGACGAAGCGGCGGAGGCCGACAGGUGCGGCACCAUCGUCCGCCUUCCCCGCGAGGGGUUCCGCUGCCGCCACCGUCACCCGUCGCCUCCGCAUGCCCACACACACCACGAUCUGCCGCCGGUGCCUCCUCCCUCCUUACCCCUCCCCUUGUGGUGACGUCAACGGGACGGAAGGCGGACGCGUCCAUCAAGGCUUGAGGUGGCGGCGGAGCUGACCACGCGACCGCCGCCCGUCGGAGCCGGUACUCCCUAGCCCCUUCUUCAUGCGCCACCGCCGCCUCCUCGUUCUUCCCUAGCCGUCGUCACCGCCCGUACUCUUCAUCUCCCCAAUGCCGCCGCUUCCUCUCUUUUGCCCUGUCGUAUAGCAGGCCAAACGGGCGGCCCGGCCCAGCACGGCAUGGCACACUGACGGCACGGCCCACUAGGGCACGGCCCGUUAGGCACGGCUCCUAUAGCGGGCCGUGCCGUGCUGGCCCACGUGCCAAGGCCUCGGCCCAAGCACGGCCCAAGGAGGUGCUGGGUCGUGCCGGGCCGGCACGGCUACUGUAGUGGACCGUGGGCUGGUAGCCGGCCCACUAGUACAUGUGGCCCAUAAAAAUUGAAAUUUGAGGGGAAAAAAGAAAAAAAAGACAGAAAAAACAUUAUAAAUAUAGGAUAAAUGUGAGGAAAAUUUAGGAAAUAUAUCAUAAAAUAUAUGGUACAAAUAGGAUAAAAUGUGGAAAAAAAUAAAAAAUAUGAGAAAUAUAUGGGAAAAAUUAGAAAAUCGUAGGAAAAAUAAAUGGGUCGGUGGGCCGUGCCAUUCCGGCACGCUAAAGUAAACGUGCCGUGCCGUGCUGGCCUACGGGCUGAGGCGUCGGCCCAAACACGGCACGGGAUAACGGGCCGUGCUGGCACGGCCCACAGGCUGGCGUGCCGUGCCGGGCCUUGGCCGGCUACAGUACUGCCGUGCUCGGGCCGGCCCGGCUUGGCACGGCCCAUUUGGCCAGGUAUACCCUCUCGCCUCGCUCGGUGGGGUGUCGGAUUUGACGAGCAAGGUCAGCGGCGAGGAGCAGGGCCAGCGGAUGUGGCAAGGUGGCGAAGGCCUCAGCAGCCGGCGGUGGGCGCUCAAAGCGGACGAAAGCGAGGCCGCCGGCGGCCCCAUCAACCGCCCUACCCACCACCCCUAACCCCCCGCGCCAUGUCGUCCUCCCGCUCAGGUGCCUAUUUCCACCCCCCCCCCCCCCCAACACCCGUGCCUCCUGCCGCCGUCGCUCCCACCCCACCACCGGCGGUCCUCUUCCUCCCGGUCGACGUUGCUAGCCGAUGCCCCUUCUACCUGACGACCCUAUGGCUGCAGUCUGUACCGUCCCAUAUUCUUCCAGCCAAGGUGGCACCCAUCCUCCGCGCCGACGCUGAGCCGUCCUCGGGGAAUGCCGGAUCUGGCACCUUGUCGCCGGAUUGGCCCCGGUCUAGGGCCGGACGAUUGCAACUCGCUGUGGCUCAAGUUUUGUUGUCGGCUCUUCCUCCUUCCGAACCGACGGACGCAUUGGUUGGAUGACAGCAGACAUCAGCCCAUGAUUAAGCGUUGCGGGCGGCGACGACGACCUUGCUGUAUCUGUGUUAUGGUGUUUUGCCACACUUGACUUUAUUAUUAACCAGAUCUACAGUCCUUGACAAUACUCCUACUUCGAAGCAUUCAUUGGAUGAUCGCAGACCCUUGAUCAGUAAGCAACCGAUUUAUGGCUUGUGGUUGCUGCUUGAUCUCCUCACCUCUCUUGCAGGGGUAAGAAAAAGCAAUGUACGAAGCACCAUAAAAGGUAAGGAGGUGCUCCAUGUAAGGACUUUGGAGUUGCUGGCAUAGCAGAGAAUUGAAUGACUCUGCUUUUCUAAGUGCAAGCAAUUGUGUUCUUUGGGUUUUAUACUAAUUCUCAAACUUGAUGAUAUUGGGCUGGUCGCCUCUAUAUUUGCUAACUCAAUAGAGCCCUUUUCCGUUAUAGCAUCUUUACUUUCCAAAUUUUUUAAUUUGUAAUUUCUUUUUAUAUGAGCAAUUGGUACUAUGAAUGUACGAGACAUAUGGUCCUACAUCCUGUAUGUCUGGGGAACGGGAAUUGGUUGGGAAAAAAAGUUACCAUGUGGACUUAUUUUUUGUUAGGCUCAUGUUGUUCAACUAGCCCUGAUAGUUUCCUAAAACUUUGUUUAAUUUAAGAAGCUAUGUAAUGAUUCUAUUUUUGGUGUACAAGAUAUUGGCAUUAUGUUACACAUAGAUGUGUUUUGAAAGCUAAAUAAAAUUACAUAGCAACAUUUGGUCAA
Long non-coding RNA from Oryza sativa Japonica Group (Japanese rice), 2618 nucleotides. RefSeq lists it as uncharacterized. NCBI's taxonomy places the organism in Eukaryota, Viridiplantae, Streptophyta, Magnoliopsida, Poales, Poaceae. The record is from RefSeq and is a predicted model, not a curated record.